GAUGUUCUUUAUAUGUUCUUUUUUAGUUAAAUUGCAGGAUAAAAGACUUAACAUAGGAUAAUACUUUGAGUACAGGGUCGUUUAUAUUUUAUUGCAGGAUAUCUAUCUGUUUGGAGGAACAUAUGAGUCCACAGAUGGCAAUAAAACACCAAAGAAUGAUAUCAUGAAAUUAAGUCUAGCAAAGAUGAAGUGGAAGAUACCACUUUACAUAGGGAUCCCCCCUGCACGCAGAUGGAGCCAUGUUGCAUUUUUCUUCAUAGCCAUCUCUAUAUCUUUGGUGGAGUAAAUGAAGAAGAAUUGAAUGAUAUAAUGGGGAUGAAAUUGAUAAACCCUUCAGACAGACAACCUUCUGCUCCAGACCCUUCCCCUUGCAGUGAUGACCAGCACUCUGGGCUGCUACUGGCCCAGCUGGCCCGCCAUGGCAACCACCAGCUGCUCCACGUUCGUCUGGGCCCUCCCAGCUCCACUACAUGGAGUGACCACCUGCCCUGCUGCAGCAUGCCAUCCCAGGGCCACUGUUGCUGCACAGCAGCUGCCUGAACCCCAUCCAGCUGGCUGGAACAUGGCAGGGGCAUCGAUGACGGGAUGCUGGACAUCACUGCCAGAGCCAUCUUUGCCCUCCUGGGCCUUCAGCCCUGCCAGCACACCUGGAAUGAUAAGGAGUGGCUGGAGGCAUCUCAGAUGAACCGGACCACCUUCUGGGACCUCCUGAAGCAGCUUUGGCCCCAUGGCAGAAUACCACCAUGUGGGUGCUCCUCCCAGUGGACACCCAUCUGGCCCUCACCCUGCUCAAACUGACCACACCCACCAGCCUCCACUACGUGGACCAUCUCUUUGGGAUGAGCAUGGCCACUUCCAGGGAGGCUGUCCUGGAGGUGGGCGGCACCCUCCAGGACAUGCUACUCUUGGUGAAUGAGCCCCUGCUGCUGGGGGUGGGGUUCUGUGUCCUGGAAACCCACAUCCUUGUCACCUGCCUGCCACACGGUGAUCACCCCUACUGCAGCCAGAAGGAUUUUCACUCCAUUGUGCUCCAGGCCAUUAUUGAUUACUGCAGCAUGUUCAGAAAUAUGCGUGUGAGCAGAGUAGGCAGUGCCCAUAAUGCCCACAUGUUUUACAGCUCUUUCCUGCCAGCCCUGGUGCAAAGCAGCCAGGAGUGCCGGACCUCCAAGUGGGUGCUGUGGUGGUCCUGCCCCUCCUCAUCGGGGAUCCCACCAAUCUGCUUGUGCCCUGGUUCAUGCGGCCCAGCACCAUCCAGCUGGACCCCUGCCAGGCCCACUUUAACUGGAGCCUAGGCUGGACAUGUGCCCUUGUAGAAUGUGCUUUCAUCUGCCUCCAGGGAUGCUGGCACACCCUCACCACCCACCUCGAGUUCACCAAGGAAAACAUCCCCCAGGUCAUCAUCACAGCCUACAUGCUGCAUAACAUGAGGCCUGAGGGGAGCUGGGGGGAGGCCGGGGUGGAGAAGGCACAGUGAGCAGAGGAUGCCUGGCAGUGGGAGCAUUAACUGCGGCAGCAGCAACAGCAGCAGUUCCCCCCUGCCUGCCAAUGGCCUGGGCAACCUGCACACCUGCCAGGGGGAGCCAAAGCACCAGGUGUGAGAGGCUCUGGUCCACCAGCUCCUCCUGCACUCCCUGCUGUAGCCCAUUUGGACACCUGCCCACAGACCAUCCAACCCCACCUCCUGCUCACCCCCAGCACCAGACUCACUGCAGACACACCUCAGAAGAACAAGAGUUUUUAUUCCCCUCCCAUCAAAUAGAACCCUGCUCCCCCCUCACUCCCCAACAACAGAGCCCCUCCAUAACCCACCACCCAUCCCACUCACCGACAAUAAAACACCCUCUUCC
Molecule: long non-coding RNA, 1847 nt
Organism: Alligator mississippiensis (American alligator)
Lineage: Eukaryota; Metazoa; Chordata; Crocodylia; Alligatoridae
Exons: 4
Source: RefSeq, a predicted model, not a curated record